GCCGAGAAGCCCCGGAGGCCCAGUGAGCACGGGGAGGGGCUAGACGCUAGCUGGACAACCAUUAGCAGGCUGGGGCCGGGCGGCUCGGGGACUACAUUUCCCAGGACACCAAGCGCUCGCGCCCGGAAGCGACGCGCCUUGGGCUCAGUGCGCAGGCGCCGCCAUAGUCUAUAUAAGGCAGGU
RNAcentral lists this long non-coding RNA (183 nucleotides) under Mus pahari (shrew mouse). Its description in RNAcentral is "sRNA (MGP_PahariEiJ_G0008257.1)". It matches the Rfam family "ZNFX1 antisense RNA 1 conserved region 1". Lineage: Eukaryota; Metazoa; Chordata; Mammalia; Rodentia; Muridae. The record is from RNAcentral.